CUUUGAUGCCAAAGUCCUCUCCUGUCAGCCAGCCUGUUCACUCUUUAACACUGGCCAAAUAUUUGGUUAUUUAAAUUAUUUUUCAGGUUGCUGUUAAAAUUCUGUGAACGUCUGAACUUCAAUAUGAAACUGUUUAAAAGCCAGAUGAUUAUCCAGAAAGAUGAUUGUCUCCAUUUGCAGUCAGAGUGCGAUGUUAAUUACAAACCUCCUCAUGGGAACAAGCACCUUUUGUCAGAGGUCCUACCCAGGACAUUGUAACCCUGGGCUCUCAAUCCUCUGCCCAUCCCAGCACGAGACAACCAGGGCCCAAAUAUUCUUAAAACCUCAUGUAGCCAAAUACUCUGGAUGGGCACAAUUCUCCAGCUUUCUGUUGAGUUUUGGACCAGCAGAAGAAAUCCAAGAAAAAAUAUUGGCUGAGAAUGGUCAGAGGACUCAACUUCUACAUGGUGAAACAACAGGAGCAUUUCAUUCUGCAAGGACUUUUUAAAAUUCGUAUUUAAGUUUGCCUGCCUAAGUACAGUGAGAGACCAGUGACCUUUUCUUUCCUGUCAGCACUGUUAACAGCAAGCUCCCUUCCAACAUUAUAGCAUCUAAAUACUGUGCUGCCUCACUUCAAGUAAAGCAUGAGCUUAAAUAUAUUACUGUGCUGAGAUUCAAAUGAUGGGUUAUUUUAGCAUUGCUGUUCCUGAGCCAAGUUAUUUGUGAGUCAAUAAUUUCCAUGGAACUGUACAAGGCAUAGAAGAAAAUCCAUGAUAUGAAAUGUUUAUAAAAAACACACAAGCAAACUAAGAAAAGAAACUAAAAAAGUUAUUAUCCCUGUCACUCAUAGAUGACAAAUUCUCUUGAAUGUAGACUAAAGCUUAGCAAAGUUAAUUGAAAUUUUCUAUGAGUUUUGUAAAUUCUUCGCUUUUAGAACUCAGUUCUGUGGUGUUAUCCAUGGUAUCACAGUGUACUACUUUUGGUCAAUUUCUGGAACCAAGCAGCUUUCUGAAGUUCUUUGUGUCUAUUUGAAGUAUUUAUUUCUUUUUCAGUCUUUAUUUUCUAGUAAGAGUGUAGGCCAUGGGCACCAUUUUCUUGAUAUAAUGCUGAAGACAAAAAUGUCUCAUGUCCC
RNAcentral lists this long non-coding RNA (1111 nucleotides) under Parus major (Great Tit). RNAcentral's name for it is "lncRNA (ENSPMJG00000003723.1)". The record is from RNAcentral. Lineage: Eukaryota; Metazoa; Chordata; Aves; Passeriformes; Paridae.